GCUUCCGGAGCUAACGCGUUAAGUCGACCGCCUGGGGAGUACGGCCGCAAGGUUAAAACUCAAAUGAAUUGACGGGGGCCCGCACAAGCGGUGGAGCAUGUGGUUUAAUUCGAUGCAACGCGAAGAACCUUACCUACUCUUGACAUCCACGGAAUUUGGCAGAGAUGCUUUAGUGCCUUCGGGAACUGUGAGACAGGUGCUGCAUGGCUGUCGUCAGCUCGUGUUGUGAAAUGUUGGGUUAAGUCCCGCAACGAGCGCAACCCUUAUCCUUUGUUGCCAGCGAUUCGGUCGGGAACUCAAAGGAGACUGCCGGUGAUAAACCGGAGGAAGGUGGGGAUGACGUCAAGUCAUCAUGGCCCUUACGAGUAGGGCUACACACGUGCUACAAUGGCGCAUACAAAGAGAAGCGACCUCGCGAGAGCAAGCGGACCUCAUAAAGUGCGUCGUAGUCCGGAUCGGAGUCUGCAACUCGACUCCGUGAAGUCGGAAUCGCUAGUAAUCGUGGAUCAGAAUGCCACGGUGAAUACGUUCCCGGGCCUUGUACACACCGCCCGUCACACCAUGGGAGU
Molecule: ribosomal RNA, 569 nt
Filed under: Pantoea sp. YL22(2011)
Lineage: Bacteria; Pseudomonadati; Pseudomonadota; Gammaproteobacteria; Enterobacterales; Erwiniaceae
Description: bacterial SSU rRNA
Rfam family: Bacterial small subunit ribosomal RNA
Source: RNAcentral